GCAGAGGCAGGAAGAGGAAGCGGCACCCGCUUCGGGGACCCAGCCGGCGGCCAGGCCACCGCGCCCACCCGGCCGAUGGCACCGUGUUCCUGCGCCUCGGGAGGGAGGAGGCUCUGCGCGGGACUGCAGGUUCUGCCCCGCAUCGGAGUGAUCGCUGAGCCUGACGCUCUCGAAGGCUGGGCCUGGGGCCCGCAAUCUACUCCGGAGGCUUUCCCACUGGGCAGGGUCGCUAGCAGGGUGCCACCCGGGUGCAGUGAGGACCUGGAGCCCCUGCCCCAGGCUGUGAGGAGACUUGACCAGAGCUGCCUGAAUGCUCCACGGAGCAGGAGGAAGCAUUCCCAUGUGAAAGAUGAGCUCCCUAUAAAAGCAACGCUCUUAUCAUCGAGAACAGAAAGUUGAAGCCAAGAGAGAGCUCCACAAGCUGACCUUGUUAAACUAACCCUUAUCUUCUUAGUCGCUUCUUUACCCAAUUAACUACCCUAG
Molecule: long non-coding RNA, 483 nt
Filed under: Homo sapiens (human)
Lineage: Eukaryota; Metazoa; Chordata; Mammalia; Primates; Hominidae
Description: non-protein coding lnc-KMO-1:14
Source: RNAcentral